GAAUCCGAACCACAAUACUAACUAAAUUUGAAAUUCGAAUCCCAACUCGAACUUGAAUAUGAAUCCGAUAGAUUUUAAAAAUUUAUAUCCAAACUCAAACCUGAUAAAAAAUUCGAAAUCUGAAUCCGAAUUCGAAAUAAUUAUUUUCUCUCAACAAUAUUUUAAGAUAUAUUAUAUUAAAUAUUUGGUAUGCGGACGCUCCACUCCGAUUCCGAUAUGUGGGUGAAUGAGAAUCCUCUAAUCACCUUAUUUCUCAAUUCGGUCUAGGAGGCUGGAUUGAAAAUUAAAUUCAGGCAGAAAGAAUUUAUUUUGCGAAAGAAUUCAUUUUACGAAAGUUAAAUCCAAACAGAAAGAAUUCAUUUUACGAAAAUAUCUCAAUUAUAUUUUUUUUAUUUUUUAUUUAAAAUUUAAUUUAUUUUUUGAUAUAAUUUUUAAUUAAAAUAUAAAUCUAAAAUUAGAAAUUAAAUUUUUAAUUCUAGGUUUUUAUUUAGAAAUUAAAUUAAAAUAUAAAUUCAAU
RNAcentral lists this long non-coding RNA (517 nucleotides) under Ananas comosus (pineapple). RNAcentral describes it as "long non-coding RNA (ACOM_LNC018274)". Lineage: Eukaryota; Viridiplantae; Streptophyta; Magnoliopsida; Poales; Bromeliaceae. The record is from RNAcentral.